CCGUUGCUCUCUGUUUGCACUGAGGCAGUAGAGUCACCAUCUAGGUGACAGACCUAGCUGCCUACCAUGAGGACCGCAGCGUGCGGACUGCUGCGCAGAGGAGUCACUGCUUUGGAGCUCAGAGUCUUAGAGAUUUCAGUUCCACGACUUCUGCUCCCCGCCUCCCCCAGAAGUUAAUGAUCUGUAAGGUAAGUUUCUGAAAGUUCUAGCAAAGGCUUAGUAUUUAAAGGAAACCUGCCCUCAGCCUGUUUAACAUGCAAAUAUUCACCUUCAGUAUACUCAUUAAAUUUGUUAUUUUGCAAUAAACAAGGG
RNAcentral lists this long non-coding RNA (312 nucleotides) under Bos grunniens (domestic yak). RNAcentral's name for it is "lncRNA (ENSBGRG00000011545.1)". The record is from RNAcentral. Lineage: Eukaryota; Metazoa; Chordata; Mammalia; Artiodactyla; Bovidae.